AGUCGAACGGUACAGGAAGAAGCUUGCUUCUUUGCUGACGAGUGGCGGACGGGUGAGUAAUGUCUGGGAAACUGCCUGAUGGAGGGGGAUAACUACUGGAAACGGUAGCUAAUACCGCAUAACGUCGCAAGACCAAAGAGGGGGACCUUCGGGCCUCUUGCCAUCGGAUGUGCCCAGAUGGGAUUAGCUAGUAGGUGGGGUAACGGCUCACCUAGGCGACGAUCCCUAGCUGGUCUGAGAGGAUGACCAGCCACACUGGAACUGAGACACGGUCCAGACUCCUACGGGAGGCAGCAGUGGGGAAUAUUGCACAAUGGGCGCAAGCCUGAUGCAGCCAUGCCGCGUGUAUGAAGAAGGCCUUCGGGUUGUAAAGUACUUUCAGCGGGGAGGAAGGGAGUAAAGUUAAUACCUUUGCUCAUUGACGUUACCCGCAGAAGAAGCACCGGCUAACUCCGUGCCAGCAGCCGCGGUAAUACGGAGGGUGCAAGCGUUAAUCGGAAUUACUGGGCGUAAAGCGCACGCAGGCGGUUUGUUAAGUCAGAUGUGAAAUCCCCGGGCUCAACCUGGGAACUGCAUCUGAUACUGGCAAGCUUGAGUCUCGUAGAGGGGGGUAGAAUUCCAGGUGUAGCGGUGAAAUGCGUAGAGAUCUGGAGGAAUACCGGUGGCGAAGGCGGCCCCCUGGACGAAGACUGACGCUCGGGUGCGAAAGC
RNAcentral lists this ribosomal RNA (710 nucleotides) under uncultured Pseudomonadota bacterium. Its description in RNAcentral is "bacterial SSU rRNA". It matches the Rfam family "Bacterial small subunit ribosomal RNA", at positions 60 to 760 of the family's 1533-position model. Lineage: Bacteria; Pseudomonadati; Pseudomonadota. The record is from RNAcentral.